ACGCUAGCUACAGGCUUAACACAUGCAAGUCGAGGGGAAACGACAUCGAAAGCUUGCUUUUGAUGGGCGUCGACCGGCGCACGGGUGAGUAACGCGUAUCCAACCUGCCCAUCACUUGGGGAUAACCUUGCGAAAGUAAGACUAAUACCCAAUGAUAUCUCUAGAAGACAUCUGAAAGGGAUUAAAGAUUUAUCGGUGAUGGAUGGGGAUGCGUCUGAUUAGCUUGUUGGCGGGGUAACGGCCCACCAAGGCGACGAUCAGUAGGGGUUCUGAGAGGAAGGUCCCCCACAUUGGAACUGAGACACGGUCCAAACUCCUACGGGAGGCAGCAGUGAGGAAUAUUGGUCAAUGGACGAGAGUCUGAACCAGCCAAGUAGCGUGCAGGAUGACGGCCCUAUGGGUUGUAAACUGCUUUUAUAAGGGAAUAAAGUGAGUCUCGUGAGACUUUUUGCAUGUACCUUAUGAAUAAGGACCGGCUAAUUCCGUGCCAGCAGCCGCGGUAAUACGGAAGGUCCGGGCGUUAUCCGGAUUUAUUGGGUUUAAAGGGAGCGUAGGCCGGAGAUUAAGCGUGUUGUGAAAUGUAGACGCUCAACGUCUGCACUGCAGCGCGAACUGGUUUCCUUGAGUACGCACAAAGUGGCGGAAUUCGUGGUGUAGCGGUGAAAUGCUUAGAUAUCACGAAGAACUCCGAUUGCGAAGGCAGCUCACUGGAGCGCAACUGACGCUGAAGCUCGAAAGUGCGGGUAUCGAACAGGAUUAGAUACCCUGGUAGUCCGCACGGUAAACGAUGGAUGCCCGCUGUUGGUCUGAAUAGGUCAGCGGCC
Molecule: ribosomal RNA, 824 nt
Filed under: uncultured bacterium
Lineage: Bacteria
Description: bacterial SSU rRNA
Rfam family: Bacterial small subunit ribosomal RNA
Source: RNAcentral